AUUGAACGCUGGCGGCAGGCCUAACACAUGCAAGUCGAGCGGAGCGGCGGACGGGCGAGUAAUGCCUAGGUAUCUGCCUGGCCGUGGGGGAUAACGUCCGGACACGGGCGCUAAUACCGCAUACUUCCAGAUGAGCCUAGGUUGGAUUAGCUAGUUGGUGGGGUAAGGGCCUACCAAGGCGACGAUCCAUAACUGGUCUGAGAGGAUGACCUGCCACACUGGAACUGAGACACGGUCCAGACUCCUACGGGAGGCAGCAGUGGGGAAUAUUGCACAAUGGGCGAAAGCCUGAUGCAGCCAUGCCGCGUGAAUGAAGAAGGCCUUCGGGUUGUAAAGUACUUUCAGCGGGGAGGCGUUACCCGCAGAGGAAGCACCGGCUAACUCCGUGCCAGCAGCCGCGGUAAUAC
Molecule: ribosomal RNA, 407 nt
Filed under: uncultured bacterium
Lineage: Bacteria
Description: partial 16S ribosomal RNA
Rfam family: Bacterial small subunit ribosomal RNA
Source: RNAcentral